Molecule: unclassified non-coding RNA, 361 nt
Filed under: Hevea brasiliensis (rubber tree)
Lineage: Eukaryota; Viridiplantae; Streptophyta; Magnoliopsida; Malpighiales; Euphorbiaceae
Source: RNAcentral
CUUAUGCUGCAAGUUGUAUAGAGAAACUCAUGCUGGUCAAGGAUGAUGGAGGACGGCCGCGGUACAAUUCAGCAGAUAUUACUCCAUUUUUACAAGGUCUAAUGAGUAACCUCUUCAAUGCCCUGAAGUUUCCAGAGUCUGAGGAGAAUCAAUAUGUAAUGAAGUGUAUCAUGCGGGUUCUAGGAGUGGCAGAAAUAUCCCCCGAGAUUGCUGCACCUUGCAUUGCUGGAUUGACCUCAAUCCUAAAUGAGGUUUGCAAAUCAAUGAAGUUUGUAAAAAUCCAAAGAAUCCUAUAUUCAACCAUUACCUCUUUGAAUCGGUGGCUGUUCUUUUUAGGCGUGCAUGUGAGAGGGACAUCUCU